GAUGAACGCUGGCGGCGUGCCUAAUACAUGCAAGUCGAGCGAACAGAUAAGGAGCUUGCUCCUCUGACGUUAGCGGCGGACGGGUGAGUAACACGUGGAUAACCUACCUAUAAGACUGGGAUAACUUCGGGAAACCGGAGCUAAUACCGGAUAAUAUUUUGAACCGCAUGGUUCAAUAGUGAAAGACGGUUUUGCUGUCACUUAUAGAUGGAUCCGCGCCGCAUUAGCUAGUUGGUAAGGUAACGGCUUACCAAGGCGACGAUGCGUAGCCGACCUGAGAGGGUGAUCGGCCACACUGGAACUGAGACACGGUCCAGACUCCUACGGGAGGCAGCAGUAGGGAAUCUUCCGCAAUGGGCGAAAGCCUGACGGAGCAACGCCGCGUGAGUGAUGAAGGUCUUCGGAUCGUAAAACUCUGUUAUUAGGGAAGAACAAACGUGUAAGUAACUGUGCACGUCUUGACGGUACCUAAUCAGAAAGCCACGGCUAACUACGUG
This 497-nucleotide ribosomal RNA is filed under the name uncultured bacterium. RNAcentral describes it as "partial 16S ribosomal RNA". It matches the Rfam family "Bacterial small subunit ribosomal RNA", at positions 28 to 507 of the family's 1533-position model. The record is from RNAcentral.